This 235-nucleotide ribosomal RNA is filed under the name uncultured bacterium. Its description in RNAcentral is "partial 16S ribosomal RNA". It matches the Rfam family "Bacterial small subunit ribosomal RNA", at positions 96 to 334 of the family's 1533-position model. The record is from RNAcentral.
UGGCGGACGGGGGAGUAAUGUCUGGGAAACUGCCUGAUGGAGGGGGAUAACUACUGGAAACGGUAGCUAAUACCGCGUAACGUCGCAAGACCAAAGAGGGGGACCUUAGGGCCUCUUGCCAUCGGAUGUGCCCAGAUGGGAUUAGCUAGUAGGUGGGGUAACGGCUCACCUAGGCGACGAUCCCUAGCUGGUCUGAGAGGAUGACCAGCCACACUGGAACUGAGACACGGUCCAG